UAAAACAAAGGCAUGACUGCCCUCUGGAGCU
Molecule: non-coding RNA, 31 nt
Filed under: Rattus norvegicus (Norway rat)
Lineage: Eukaryota; Metazoa; Chordata; Mammalia; Rodentia; Muridae
Source: RNAcentral